This 900-nucleotide ribosomal RNA is filed under the name uncultured Bathyarchaeota archaeon. RNAcentral describes it as "bacterial SSU rRNA". It matches the Rfam family "Archaeal small subunit ribosomal RNA", at positions 1 to 879 of the family's 1478-position model. The record is from RNAcentral. Lineage: Archaea; Thermoproteati; Candidatus Bathyarchaeota.
UCUGGUUGAUCCCGCCGGACCCUACUGCUAUCGGGUGAAGACUAAGCCAUGCGAGUUUUGCAUCUCCUAGCCAUGUUGGAGACGCAGCGUACGGCUCCGUAACACGUAGUUAAUCUGCCCUUGGGACAAGAAUAACCCUGGGAAACUGGGGCUAAUUCUCGAUAGGCGCAGUGGCCUGGAAUGGUACUGCACCCAAAAGACUUCAGGAACAUGCUUCUGGAGUCGCCCAAGGAUGAGACUGCGGCCGAUCAGGUUGUUGGUGGGGUAACGGCCUACCAAGCCUAUAACCGGUACGGGCCCUGAGAGGGGGAGCCCGGAGAUGGGAACUGAGACAAGGUCCCAGGUCCUACGGGGCGCAGCAGGCGCGAAAACUCCACAAUGUGCGAAAGCAUGAUGGGGUUAACCCGAGUGCCGUCCGAUGAGGAUGGCUUUUCUUCAUUCUAAGGAUCUGAUGGAAUAAAGGGGGGGCAAGACUGGUGUCAGCCGCCGCGGUAAUACCAGCCCCCUGAGUGGUAGGGACGAUUAUUUGGCCUAAAGCGUCCGUAGCCCGUUUGGUAAGUCUUUCGUUAAAUCCGACGAUUCAAUCGCUGGCCCGCGGAAGAGACUGCCAGACUUGAGGACGGGAGAGGUCGACGGUAGUCCCGGGGUAGGGGUGAAAUCCUAUAAUCCUGGGAGGACCACCAGUGGCGAAGGCGGUCGACUAGAACGUGCCUGACGGUGAUGGACGAAAGCUGGGGGAGCGAACCGGAUUAGACACCCGGGUAGUCCCAGCUGUAAACGAUGCGAGCUAGGUGUUGGGGCAACUACGAGUUGCUCCAGUGCCGCAGAGAAGUUGUUAAGCUCGCCGCCUGGGAAGUACGGCCGCAAGGCUGAAACUUAAAGGAAUUGGCGGGGGAGCAC